Molecule: small nuclear RNA, 131 nt
Filed under: Lychas marmoreus
Lineage: Eukaryota; Metazoa; Arthropoda; Arachnida; Scorpiones; Buthidae
Description: partial U2 snRNA
Rfam family: U2 spliceosomal RNA
About the family: U2 is a small nuclear RNA (snRNA) component of the spliceosome (involved in pre-mRNA splicing). Complementary binding between U2 snRNA (in an area lying towards the 5' end but 3' to hairpin I) and the branchpoint sequence (BPS) of the intron results the bulging out of an unpaired adenosine, on the BPS, which initiates a nucleophilic attack at the intronic 5' splice site, thus starting the first of two transesterification reactions that mediate splicing.
Source: RNAcentral
GAUCAAAGUGUAGUAUCUGUUCUUAUCAGCUUAAUAUCUGAUACGGUCUCCAUCGGGGGCCAUGAUAUUAAACUGAUUUUUGGAAGGCGGCGGAGUGCUUGGAGCUUGCUCCACCUCUGCCACGGGUUGAC